AGGUCAUACCUGGACACACUUCCGCUCGCAGCGGUGCCAGUCGCUGGUAGGAACCACUACUUUUACCUGCAACCUGAGGAUCAAGAGGGUUUUUUUGUCCUGCAAUAAGACUAUUAUUCUUCAUCCUUAGAAGUAAUGACAACAACACUGGGCUAAGAAGACUGAAAAAAGAAUGGCUACAAGCCAGAGUGAGGUGUCAGACAGCAGCGUGACAACACAGGACGGCGAUGACAGUUUAUACGAAGAACAUCUGCAAAAUGGCUCCAGAGCCCUGGAGACUGGAGACUUGGACAAGGCAGAACGAAGCUUUGCAUCGGCAAUCAGGUCUGU
Branchiostoma belcheri (Belcher's lancelet) is the source of this 330-nucleotide long non-coding RNA. RefSeq lists it as uncharacterized. The record is from RefSeq and is a predicted model, not a curated record. Lineage: Eukaryota; Metazoa; Chordata; Leptocardii; Amphioxiformes; Branchiostomatidae. The transcript has 3 exons.